AGCCUCUGCCUGGGCUCUCCUGAGCCUGGACCCCAGGGUCCUGAGAGCUGCCCCAAGGAUGGGCACCAGGGGAGCAGUCAUGCCCCCUCCUAUGUGGGGGCUGCUGGGCUGCUGUUUUGUCUGUGGCUGGGCUCUGGGGGGUCCGCGGCCCAUCCGCUCUCUGCCCUCUCUGUCUUCCCAAGUCAAGCCAGGAUCUGUGCCCAUGCGGGUGCCCCCAGAGGGGGCCGAGGCUGCCCUCGCUUAUCUCUACUCUGGAGAUGCCCAGCAGCUAUCGCAGGUGAAUUGCAGUGAGCGCUAUGAAGCACGUGGGGCAGGAGCCAUGCCAGGGCUCCCCCCAAGCCUACAGGGAGCAGCGGGCACCCUUGCCCAGGCCGCCAAUUUUCUCAACAUGCUGCUGCAAGCCAACGACAUCCGUGAGUCCAGUGUGGAGGAGGAUGUGGAAUGGUACCAGGCACUGGUCCGCAGCGUGGCCGAGGGAGACCCAAGAGUGUACAGGGUUUUGCUGACCUUUAACCCUCCACCAGGGGCCAGCCACCUACAGCUGGCCCUGCAGGCCACCCGGAUUGGGGAGGAAACCAUCCUUCAGGACUUGUCUGGGAACUGGGUGCAGGAGGAGAACCCACCUGGGGACCUGGACACCCCUGCCCUGAAGAAGCGGGUGCUGACCAAUGACCUAGGGAGCCUUGGCAGCCCCAAGUGGCCGCAGGCAGAUGGAUAUGUGGGGGACAUGCAGCAGGUGAGGCUGUCUCCUCCUUUCCUGGAAUGCCAGGAGGGACGGCUCCGACCUGGAUGGCUGAUCACACUCUCUGCCACCUUCUAUGGACUCAAGCCAGACCUCAGCCCAGAAGUCAGGGGGCAGGUGCAGAUGGACGUAGAUCUCCAGAGUGUGGACGUCAAUCAGUGUGCAAGUGGCCCAGGCUGGUACUCUAACACACACCUGUGUGAUCUCAACAGCACCCAGGUAAGGAUGAGGAGGAUGGGGGGCGCUACUAGAGUCCUGCCUCCCUCCCUUUUUCCCAUCACUGCCACCACGCAGCUCCCAG
Molecule: small RNA, 1043 nt
Filed under: Pongo abelii (Sumatran orangutan)
Lineage: Eukaryota; Metazoa; Chordata; Mammalia; Primates; Hominidae
Description: retained intron
Source: RNAcentral